AUACAUGCAAGUCGAGCGGACCGACGGGAGCUUGCUCCCUUAGGUCAGCGGCGGACGGGUGAGUAACACGUGGGUAACCUGCCUGUAAGACUGGGAUAACUCCGGGAAACCGGGGCUAAUACCGGAUGCUUGAUUGAACCGCAUGGUUCAAUCAUAAAAGGUGGCUUUUAGCUACCACUUACAGAUGGACCCGCGGCGCAAUAGCUAGUUGGUGAGGUAACGGCUCACCAAGGCGACYAUGCGUAGCCCACCUGAGAGGGUGAUCGGCCACACUGGGACUGAGACACGGCCCAGACUCCUACGGGAGGCAGCAGUAGGGAAUCUUCCGCAAUGGACGAAAGUCUGACGGAGCAACGCCCCGUGAGUGAUGAAGGUUUUCGGAUCGUAAAACUCUGUUGUUAGGGAAGAACAAGUACCGUUCGAAUAGGGCGGUACCUUGACGGUACCUAACCAGAAAGCCACGGCUAACUACGUGCCAGCAGCCGCGGUAAUACGUAGGUGGCAAGCGUUGUCCGGAAUUAUUGGGCGUAAAGCGCGCGCAGGCGGUUUCUUAAGUCUGAUGUGAAAGCCCCCGGCUCAACCGGGGAGGGUCAUUGGAAACUGGGGAACUUGAGUGCAGAAGAGGAGAGUGGAAUUCCACGUGUAGCGGUGAAAUGCGUAGAGAUGUGGAGGAACACCAGUGGCGAAGGCGACUCUCUGGUCUGUAACUGACGCUGAGGCGCGAAAGCGUGGGGAGCGAACAGGAUUAGAUACCCUGGUAGUCCACGCCGUAAACGAUGAGUGCUAAGUGUUAGAGGGUUUCCGCCCUUUAGUGCUGCAGCAAACGCAUUAAGCACUCCGCCUGGGGAGUACGGUCGCAAGACUGAAACUCAAAGGAAUUGACGGGGGGCCCGCACAAGCGGUGGAAGCAUGUGGUUUAAUUCGAAGCAACGCGAAGAACCUUACCAGGUCUUGACAUCCUCUGACAACCCUAGAGAUAGGGCUUCCCCUUCGGGGGCAGAGUGACAGGUGGUGCAUGGUUGUCGUCAGCUCGUGUCGUGAGAUGUUGGGUUAAGUCCCGCAACGAGCGCAACCCUUGAUCUUAGUUGCCAGCAUUCAGUUGGGCACUCUAAGGUGACUGCCGGUGACAAACCGGAGGAAGGUGGGGAUGACGUCAAAUCAUCAUGCCCCUUAUGACCUGGGCUACACACGUGCUACAAUGGGCAGAACAAAGGGCAGCGAAGCCGCGAGGCUAAGCCAAUCCCACAAAUCUGUUCUCAGUUCGGAUCGCAGUCUGCAACUCGACUGCGUGAAGCUGGAAUCGCUAGUAAUCGCGGAUCAGCAUGCCGCGGUGAAUACGUUCCCGGGCCUUGUACACACCGCCCGUCACACCACGAGAGUUUGUAACACCCGAAGUCGGUGAGGUAACCUUUUGGAGCCAGCCGCCGAAGGUGGGACAGAUGAUGGGG
Molecule: ribosomal RNA, 1448 nt
Filed under: Bacillus licheniformis
Lineage: Bacteria; Bacillati; Bacillota; Bacilli; Caryophanales; Bacillaceae
Description: 16S ribosomal RNA
Rfam family: Bacterial small subunit ribosomal RNA
Source: RNAcentral